AAAGAAUGAGGCCGCGGGGCCAUGGACACGAUGGCUGGGAGUCGUCUUUGCGCUCAUUUCAGGGGCAUGCUGGGUCUGCGUAACAGAACACAGCAGGAACUUAAACAUCAGGAAUUUUAUUUCACACAGGCCCCUCCUGGAAGGCCAGCUGUUCACCCCUCUUCGCCACUCCAUUGGGCAGAUUCUGGAUGAAACCUUCCAGGUAGCCACGUGGGAAGCAGAUGCACUCACACUUCGCACUAACAGAGGCCUCGUGCACGCGGCUGUCAUGGAACUCCUCACAGGGCCUCUGACUCUCUCCCCAGACGGGAGGUUGAGGAAUCUGACCAAGGCCCCUCCACCGAGGGCAGCUGCUACCAAGACCCGAGGCUCUUAGUGAAAACUGAGGUGGCCUCCCUAGCACGGGAAGACGCAUCUCGCCCCUUUUUGAUCCCAUCCUGGGACUUAAGUUGAGUUGCCUGCAGGAAACAGCUCUGAGCAAACACCAAGGACCUCUUCUCACCUCGGGAGACAAGCCGACAGUUUUGCAAUAUGGUGAGUUUGUCCACAGAAGGAGAUAUAGCCUAUCCCCACUUGGGCAGCAGGCUUAUCUUGUCACGGUUUUAUUGCUCAGUUAUGAAUAAACUGCUUACAGUGAUCUUUGUGAGUUUCACA
This 654-nucleotide long non-coding RNA is filed under the name Capra hircus (goat). Its description in RNAcentral is "lncRNA (ENSCHIG00000003973.1)". The record is from RNAcentral. Lineage: Eukaryota; Metazoa; Chordata; Mammalia; Artiodactyla; Bovidae.